UUGAACGCUGGCGGCAGGCCUAACACAUGCAAGUCGAGCGGAUGAAGGGAGCUUGCUCCUGGAUUCAGCGGCGGACGGGUGAGUAAUGCCUAGGAAUCUGCCUGGUAGUGGGGGAUAACGUCCGGAAACGGGCGCUAAUACCGCAUACGUCCUGAGGGAGAAAGUGGGGGAUCUUCGGACCUCACGCUAUCAGAUGAGCCUAGGUCGGAUUAGCUAGUUGGUGGGGUAAAGGCCUACCAAGGCGACGAUCCGUAACUGGUCUGAGAGGAUGAUCAGUCACACUGGAACUGAGACACGGUCCAGACUCCUACGGGAGGCAGCAGUGGGGAAUAUUGGACAAUGGGCGAAAGCCUGAUCCAGCCAUGCCGCAUGUGUGAAGAAGGUCUUCGGAUUGUAAAGCACUUUAAGUUGGGAGGAAGGGCAGUAAGUUAAUACCUUGCUGUUUUGACGUUACCAACAGAAUAAGCACCGGCUAACUUCGUG
RNAcentral lists this ribosomal RNA (483 nucleotides) under uncultured bacterium. RNAcentral describes it as "partial 16S ribosomal RNA". It matches the Rfam family "Bacterial small subunit ribosomal RNA", at positions 30 to 507 of the family's 1533-position model. The record is from RNAcentral.